RNAcentral lists this ribosomal RNA (466 nucleotides) under uncultured bacterium. RNAcentral's name for it is "partial 16S ribosomal RNA". It matches the Rfam family "Bacterial small subunit ribosomal RNA", at positions 28 to 507 of the family's 1533-position model. The record is from RNAcentral.
GAUGAACGCUGGCGGCGUGCUUAACACAUGCAAGUCGAACGGAAAGGUUCCUGCUUGCAGGGGUACUCGAGUGGCGAACGGGGGAGUAACACGUGGGUGCUCUGUCCUGCACUUCAGGAUAAGCAUGGGAAACUGGAUCUAAUACCGGAUAAGAUGUUUGUUUGGAUGCCAUUGCGGAAAGUAUUUUCGGUGUGGGUUGAGCUCGAGGCUUAUCAGCUUGUUGGUGGGGUAAUGGCCAAACAAGGCAUCGACCGGUAGCCGACCUGAGAGGGUGUACGGCGACAUUACAACGGGGGUACGGCCCAGACUCCAACGGGAGGCAGCAGUGGGGAAGGUAACAGUAUAGGCGCAAGCAGAGUGCAGCGACGCCACGUGGGGGAUGACAGCAGGCGGGUAGUGAACUACUGUCGCUAUACACGAAGUGAAAGUGACGGUACCUGGAGAAGAAGCACCGGCUAACUACGUG